GUUUAAGAUCCAUCAGCUGUGCUGUUCCCUCUCAUGGCUUCAAACCAGGUCUGCCCCCAAAUGCACAGCCUUGAUGCCACUUCACAAGGAUUUGGCUCCUGCAGUCAGCAGACAUGCAGAAGGAACAUCACCUGGCCCUGGGAGGUGAAGCUCUAACCCGUGCAAGAUUGCCCUGGACACAGGAGACCUGUGCCUCUUGUGUGAGGAGCUGUUUCACCUGUCUCUGAUGUUGGUGAGGACAAGGCCUUCCUAAUUGCAGGCUUUCAAAAUGCUUCUCCUUGCAAGGUGCAGUGGAGCUGGGACGUGGUGCAGUUGGGGGGCAGUGCUGCCAGCAGAAGGAAAGGACUGUGCUGUUCUGCAGCCCUGCUGGGUGAGUCCAACACUGAACUGUGUGAUGUCUGACUGGGAAAUGUUUGUAGCCACUGAUGAGAUUGAUUCUGCCAGAUGAAUUCCUGUGAUUUUACCCUUUCCGUUCCACUUUGUGCUGAGGUUACACAGCUGCUGUGGAGCCUGUGUCACUCGUGCUGCUGCAUCUGCUAAGUGUGUUUUCUUCUGGCUUUAGGUGAGCAAGCAGCUCUGCAGCUACUGUAUGAGGAGCUGAGAAGGUGAGUGCAAGUGCAGUAAUUAAGAUAUUUUUUUUGCUGGAACAAGUGAUGAUAACCUUAGCUUGAACUCUCUCACUGAACAGAGAUGAAAUUCUAAGGGCUGAGAUGUUCCCAGCAAGUGUCUUGUGCCGAUUUGGUGUCUUAAAGUGGUUCUUAUGUCUGUCCUAAUUAGGUGGAGGAUUGCAGUGUAAUGGCCAUGAACAGCAUUAAAGCAGCCCCAGUGGUUUUUACCCCACUGGUCAUGUUUGCCUGACCCUGGUUGGAACCAAUAAAAACCUGCAAACUCU
This is a long non-coding RNA of Empidonax traillii (willow flycatcher), 892 nucleotides long. RefSeq lists it as uncharacterized. The transcript is spliced from 8 exons. Lineage: Eukaryota; Metazoa; Chordata; Aves; Passeriformes; Tyrannidae. The record is from RefSeq and is a predicted model, not a curated record.